This is a non-coding RNA of Acanthosepion pharaonis, 90 nucleotides long. Lineage: Eukaryota; Metazoa; Mollusca; Cephalopoda; Sepiida; Sepiidae. The record is from the annotation of a GenBank genome assembly.
CCUCGGUUCCCGUACGAUCAUCGAAGUUAAGCAACGUCGAGUCAGGUCAGUACGUAGAUGGGUGACCGCUUGGAAUACCAAGUGUUGUAA